AGGGUCCUGUUCCCUGGGGAGGAGUUCAUGAGUGCAAUCACCCGUUGCUGGGUCGGCACCGGAAUUCGACGGACUCACUGCCCUGCCCCCGUUAAGGGUCCUGGGCUCCCGUCGGGUCGUGUUUUCUAGACCUUGCAUUAUGUUUGUUGCUCUCUUCUGAGUUUUCUCCAACUUGUUCAAAUCUUUGCCCAAAACUGAAGACAAGAAUCCAACUGAGACCUUAUCAGAUGAUGAAGAUUUUAAAUUAUGCAGCAGCAGGCAGAACAUACAUUCCAGCAUUGGACUGAAGGACAAAAGGGGCAAUAAAAUUUCAGCCAGUAGUCUAAAACACAUUGCAGUCUCUAGAGUUUACAGCAAAACAUGGUCCAAAUUCCCACAUAACGAAAG
Non-coding RNA from Pelodiscus sinensis (Chinese soft-shelled turtle), 387 nucleotides. The record is from RefSeq and is a predicted model, not a curated record. Lineage: Eukaryota; Metazoa; Chordata; Testudines; Trionychidae.